GUCCACGCCCUAAACGAUGUCGACUGGUUGUUGGGAGAUUUAUUCUCUUAGUAACGAAGCUAACGCGUGAAGUCUACCGCCUGGGGAGUACGGUCGCAAGAUUAAAACUCAAAGGAAUUGACGGGGGCCCGCACAAGCGGUGGAUGAUGUGGAUUAAUUCGAUGCAACGCGAAAACCUUACCUACGCUUGACAUGUCCGAAAGUUUCCAGAGAUGGGAUCGUGCUCGAAAGAGAAUCGGAACACAGGUGCUGCAUGGCUGUCGU
RNAcentral lists this ribosomal RNA (264 nucleotides) under uncultured bacterium. RNAcentral describes it as "partial 16S ribosomal RNA". It matches the Rfam family "Bacterial small subunit ribosomal RNA", at positions 793 to 1055 of the family's 1533-position model. The record is from RNAcentral.